Molecule: long non-coding RNA, 1664 nt
Filed under: Salmo salar (Atlantic salmon)
Lineage: Eukaryota; Metazoa; Chordata; Actinopteri; Salmoniformes; Salmonidae
Description: lncRNA (ENSSSAG00000113977.1)
Source: RNAcentral
UGGAGAGAGAAUCACUGAAACAGCUAUUUAUACAGUGACUACAAGCCAUGGACUAUUGGAGAGAGAAUCACUGAAACAGCUAUUUAUACAGUGGCUACAAGCCAUGGACUAUUGGAGAGAGAAUCACUGAAACAUUAUCUAUUUAUACAGUGGCUACAAGCCAUGGACUAUUGGAGAGAGAACCACUGAAACUUUGUCUAUUUAUACAGUGGCUACAAGCCAUGGACUAUUGGAGAGAGAUCCACUGAAAUAUUGUCUAUUUAUACAGUGGCUACAAGAACUAUUUCAGAGAGAAUCACUGAAACAUUGUCUAUUUAUACAGUGGCUAUAAGCCAUGGACUAUUGGAGAGAUGAACAGAGACAUUAGGUGUCUACACAUGCCGAGAGAUCAACUCAAAUUGAACAUUGGGUUGCUGUCUACAGGGUGAUUACAAGCCAUGGACUUCAACAGGGAGCACAGACGGACAAACCGACAGACCGACGGACAGAAGGACAUGGGACUAUUACAAUACAAGCCGUUGACUUCAACAGGAAGCACAGAUGAACGAACAGACGGCCGGACAGAGGGACAUUGGAUGGGUACAAUACAAGCCAUUGACUACAGUAGAUAGCAACUGGCACUUUGAUUAAUGUAAUUGACUUCUGUCUUCUUAUGGCCUUGACAAUCCACAUACACACGACAGCUGUGACCUCACAGUAGACACACAGUAUUUAUCUGUUAUACGUACGUCCUCGCAUACUGAGUGAGUGCUUCCAAAAUGGCACCCUAUUCCCUAUUUAGUGCACUACUUUCGACUGGGGCCCAUAGGUUUUGUCCAGGGCCCAUAGGGUUUGAACAGGGCCCAUAGGGUUUGAACAGGAUCCAUAGGGUUUGAACAGGGCCCAUAGGGUUUGACCAGGGCCCAUAGGGUUUGAACAGGGCCCAUAGGGUUUGAACAGGGCCCAUAGGGUUUGAACAGGGCCCAUAGGGUUUGAACAGGAUCCAUAGGGUUUGAACAGGGCCCAUAGGGUUUGACCAGGGCCCAUAGGGUUUGAACAGGGCCCAUAGGGUUUGAACAGGGCCCAUAGGGUUUGAACAGGGCCCAUAGGGUUUGAACAGGGCCCAUAGGGUUUGAACAGGACCCAUAAGGUUUGAACAGGACCCAUAGGGUUUGAACAGGGCCCAUAGGGUUUGAACAGGGCCCUUAAGGUUUGACCAAGGAGCAUAGGGUUUGACCAGGGCUCUGGUCAAAAGUAGGUCACUACUCAGGGAUUAUGGUGGCAUUUGGAACUGACCCACUAACUAUAAUGUGAUUUUGGGGACUUUGGGACAAAAAGGCUCAUUUGCUAACUGUCUCAGUCGAUAGCAACAAAGAUGUUUAUGUCCGAAAAAUAACAUAAUAUUACCCAAAUCAUGUUCCAUUAUUAAGGCUUCUAGUGUUUUACCCUCAGCAGUGAAGAAAAGGGGUCCCAAAUGGCCCUCUGUUCCCUACAUAUUCCCUAUGGGCCCUGGUCAAAAGCAGUGCACUACAUAUUGAAUAAGGGGUCAUUUGCAACCAGCUCUCACAGUCUCACGUCGGAAUUAGACGUUCGCCCAUGUUUCCCAAACGUCACAUUUUGAAGUGUUUGGUUACUUCGUACUUUAUCGUUCGAAGGUUAAGGUUGACUUGCCAAGUUAAAUAAAG